Molecule: long non-coding RNA, 2010 nt
Organism: Nymphaea colorata (pocket water lily)
Lineage: Eukaryota; Viridiplantae; Streptophyta; Magnoliopsida; Nymphaeales; Nymphaeaceae
Exons: 4
Source: RefSeq, a predicted model, not a curated record
AAUCAUUAUUCACGGUUACUAGUUGCAGAUUUCAGUGGUCCUCUUUCAGACAUGCAAUUACGAGUUUUGGAACAGGUCGGCUCUUUUGGAACCAUUCCUAGCGAUCCCCGUGAAGACACUAUUAAUUAUUCGAGUGCUUGACCAGGGCAUUUGCUCCCGCGAAAACCUUCCUCCUGGUAUGCUGCAAUUUCCACUGACGCAGUGAAGGAAGGGAUGGCAACGAUCUCAUCCUCCGAUGCAGGGAAGAAGAUGUUGCAAUUCCAUUCCGUGAUGCCUACGGUUUCAUCAUUUGCUACUGCUCGCUGUUGUUUCAUACAUUGACAAUGCUUAUCCAUUGAAGCAGGGGAGGCAUCUACACCGGCGCUGCCCUCAUAGGAAUCAUCAACUGCUCGAAUUUGUACUGUUGCAUCUGCUACUUAGGCGUUCUUCCAGAAUCAUGAAUUCCUGUAUGUGCAUACACCCAUUAUCAUUACAUCAACCCCAACUUUGGGAGUUCAAUGUUCCGGGUUAUAGCUCUCCUUGGCAAAGCUGAAAACAUGAAGGCACUAGGUGGUAUAUUAACGUUAAGCUGAGACAGAAGCUGCAAAGGCAUGUCUUGGGGGAAAAGCUCAUAGGAUGGAUGAACUAAAGAGAAGCGAUAAUCACAAAAAAAACACUAGCAAUGUAAACUUUGGAAAAGGUUUCUUUUCUCAGAAGGAAUUUUUAUUGAAUCUGCUCAGCUUCUCUUGAGUGCUAUGCAUGUUCCCUUGGUAACGUUUAUACAUGGAGGCAAGCCUUUCAAGCAGAAAAAAAAUUCAAACUGCAGAGUGCAUAGCUCAGACAUGGAUGGUUUAGGGUGAACUUGCCUUCACAGUAUAACAGGGAGGCUUUGAAGUUCAAUAUCAAAAGUUCAUCUCUCUUUACAACAAGGAAGUGUUUCCUUGAUCCCAUUCAUUGGUUACGAUCAGUUUUAGCAAUGUCAUGUACUGUCCUUGGAGCAGUGAGUAAACAAGCCCUGGCAGUCGAUGUCAUCAACUAUCAAGUGUGAAUGGUAAGUCUCUUGUUGAUAUGAUCUCCAACUUUUCUUUGUGCAAUCUUUUCGUUGUUAGGAUACUUUGGCAUAUGCUCUUUACAACCCUCAUAAGCCUCUUGUUACCACAUAUGCCAUGGAGCAUACAUUUCUAUGGUCGCAAUAUACAUUGUGGAUAUUUCGUUUUGCGUAAGAUUUAUUAUGGAUCACUUGUCCAGAUUCGCUUAUAUCGUGUUCAAGUUGUACAUUUGAAGCUUGCACCAGUUGAUUUCAUCGGAAAAUGAUACUCUACCUUAUGGAAGUUUCAAUCGUACCACUAGUUCUUGGUUUCUUUAUGCAUCCUGUGGUCGUCUUUUUAUGAAUUUAUGUCUCCCAGUUAAGAAAUAUUGGACGCCAAAAGCCUGCAGAUGAUGCACAUUAAUUGUUCUCUCUUGUCCUUAGCAAAUCGCAACAAUGCACUAGCAAAGGAUAUAUGUCCCGUAUUACAGAAGGCACACAAGCUGUUCUCUCAUAGAUGUGUGUACAGGGGGACCGAAGACAAAGCCCUAUGUCAGGAUGAUGGAGUGGGCCCUACAACUUCUAGAACACGUCACCAAAUAGGAAACGAGAUCUUUGUGAUUGGUUAGUUUUGUUCAAUGAUUCUCAAUCCAACAUGCAAGGCUGUUAGAAAGUUUUGAAUGUCCAUAACAAUGAGAAUUUCUGAUCAAAAUCGUUGGUGGAUAUUUUAGAUCCCUUUGAAAGAAAUUCUGUGAUGUGCUCCAAUGCAGGUACCUACCAGAAGCAUGAUAGGAUGAAGUUGGCACAGUGCUUUGGAUUUCCACAUCUCCAAGCACCAAAAGCUCAUGAAUUCCUAUGCAUUUGGUGCAAAAACUGAUCCGCCCAUAAGAUCACAACUUUAUCCUUUUUGUUUGUUCUAUGAAAAAUUUGGUUCCAGAUAUUGUGAGCUGGCUUCUUCUUCUUUGUUAUGUUGGACUUGAUGAUCAUUUCCAAGAGAAAAGAAA